GAGGCCAUCAAGCUAUCGGACUAUGAGCGAACGCUGAAGAAAGCAUCUUCUGGAAAGUCCAAACCAGUCCCUCAGCUUGGAGAGCAACCAAACCAGGAGAUCGAGCCGUUGGUGACCGGUAAAGAAAUGACGAUAGAACAAUUUAUUACUGACACCGGUCUAACUACGGAUCAAUUGCUAGGAGUCGCACCAAUCGAAAAGGCGGAAGUGAAAUACAUGUACG
This 223-nucleotide unclassified non-coding RNA is filed under the name Hevea brasiliensis (rubber tree). The record is from RNAcentral. Lineage: Eukaryota; Viridiplantae; Streptophyta; Magnoliopsida; Malpighiales; Euphorbiaceae.